RNAcentral lists this ribosomal RNA (216 nucleotides) under uncultured soil bacterium. Its description in RNAcentral is "partial 16S ribosomal RNA". It matches the Rfam family "Bacterial small subunit ribosomal RNA", at positions 26 to 244 of the family's 1533-position model. The record is from RNAcentral.
AGGACGAACGCUGGCGGCGUGCUUAACACAUGCAAGUCGAGCGGAAAGGCCUUUCGGGGUACUCGAGCGGCGAACGGGUGAGUAACACGUGAGUAAUCUGCCCAUCGCUUCAGGAUAGCCAUCGGAAACGGUGAUUAAUACUGGAUAUGACAUUCCUUCGCAUGUUGGGGUGUGGUAAAGUUUUUUCGGCGGUGGAUGUGCGUCGCGGCCUAUCAG